AAAAGGAAAGUAGCUCCGUAACUUAAACUGAGUUCUAUUCUGUGCGUGAAAAUGACAGAGGUAAUUGUUGGGGAAGCCAAAGUUCCCGUUGGUCCUUUGGGACAGAAAUACAUUGACAACGCAAUUUUAGCACUAAAAGGAAGUUAUGAUGCUUCUAACUUACAAAAAACAGUUGACGAUUUAUCCAAGAAUUAUCAUAACCUGCAGGGAGCAUACAAAUGGAACGUACUUGGCUACCAAAAAGUAAAUUCCGCAGAGAAAAAUAUUAUUUCUCAUAUCCACAUUGAACUAAAAAUUAGUAACGACGGUGAAUAUGAUGUAUUUUAUAUUUGCAGUCACCUUUAGAUUAUAAAAUGUAUUUUUGAUGCAAAGAAAAUAAAGCAAAGUAUAAGUA
Long non-coding RNA from Aethina tumida (small hive beetle), 394 nucleotides. RefSeq lists it as uncharacterized. NCBI's taxonomy places the organism in Eukaryota, Metazoa, Arthropoda, Insecta, Coleoptera, Nitidulidae. The transcript has 2 exons. The record is from RefSeq and is a predicted model, not a curated record.